Long non-coding RNA from Octodon degus (degu), 199 nucleotides. RefSeq lists it as uncharacterized. The record is from RefSeq and is a predicted model, not a curated record. The transcript has 3 exons. NCBI's taxonomy places the organism in Eukaryota, Metazoa, Chordata, Mammalia, Rodentia, Octodontidae.
AGACACCGGAAAUUGUGGCUAUAGACAGAGGCCAUGGGAAUCACAUGUGUUUGGAAAUCUAUCCAUUUGUUCAGGAUUCUCCAAUUUAUUAAGGUGUAAUAUAACAAAUGGCCACAUAGAAGAGAAAUGUAGAUUGCUGAGGAAGAUAAAUAAGAAGAGAGGGGCUGGGGAGAUGGCUCAGUAGAAUAAGCAUUUGCCU